This is a long non-coding RNA of Gadus chalcogrammus (walleye pollock), 406 nucleotides long. RefSeq lists it as uncharacterized. The record is from RefSeq and is a predicted model, not a curated record. Lineage: Eukaryota; Metazoa; Chordata; Actinopteri; Gadiformes; Gadidae. The transcript is spliced from 3 exons.
UUUACAGGGGUCCUGGAGACUGUUCACACAUGUGGACUUGAGGGAAAGAUCUGAUAACUGGCAGGCGAAUGGCUCUCCAAAUAAUGCCAUCAUGCCCUUCCUGAGAGUUCCUUCAAACUGCCCAAGAUCCUACCAUCUGAUGACAGAUGACCCUGAUGGUGAUCGGGUGAUUUGCAGAUACGGAACCAUCUUAAACAGAGAAUGCGCUACAUGCAAUCAACCCCAAGGUUUUGAGCUGGAUGAGAGAAACUGUGUCCUACACUACCGUUCCACAUCAUACACUGGGACGUAUGGGUUUGAGUUGGUGCUGGAAGACUUUCCAAGAACCACCAUCUCCUUGAUCUCCACAAAUGGAACUUCAACUCAGAGAUUACCUUUGCCUUCAAACAGAAACAAACGUUCAAUA